Molecule: ribosomal RNA, 477 nt
Filed under: uncultured bacterium
Lineage: Bacteria
Description: bacterial SSU rRNA
Rfam family: Bacterial small subunit ribosomal RNA
Source: RNAcentral
AACGCUGGCGGCAUGCUUUACACAUGCAAGUCGAACGGUACAGGCCGCAAGGUGCUGACGAGUGGCGAACGGGUGAGUAAUGCAUCGGAACGUGCCCAGUCGUGGGGGAUAACGCAGCGAAAGCUGCGCUAAUACCGCAUACGCACUGAGGUGGAAAGCAGGGGAUCGCAAGACCUUGCGCUAUACGAGCGGCCGAUGUCAGAUUAGCUAGUUGGUAGGGUAAAGGCCUACUAAGGCGACGAUCUGUAGCGGGUCUGAGAGGAUGAUCCGCCACACUGGGACUGAGACACGGCCCAGACUCCUACGGGAGGCAGCAGUGGGGAAUUUUGGACAAUGGGCGAAAGCCUGAUCCAGCCAUGCCGCGUGAGUGAAGAAGGCCUUCGGGUUGUAAAGCUCUUUCGGCUGGGAAGAAAUCGCACAGGCUAAUACUCUGUGUGGAUGACGGUACCAGCACAAGAAGCACCGGCUAACUACGUG